GAGCAUGUGGUUUAAUUCGAAAGAUACGCGCAGAACCUUACCAACACUUGACAUGUUCGUCGCGACUCUAAGAGAUUAGAGUUUUCGGUUCGGCCGGACGAAACACAGGUGCUGCAUGGCUGUCGUCAGCUCGUGUCGUGAGAUGUUGGGUUAAGUCCCGCAACGAGCGCAACCCUCACUUUUAGUUGCCAUCAUUAAGUUGGGCACUCUGAAAGAACUGCCAGUGAUAAGCUGGAGGAAGGUGGGGAUGACGUCAAGUCCUCAUGGCCCUUACGUGUUGGGCUACACACGUGCUACAAUGGUAUCUACAACAGGAAGCAAGACUGCGAAGUUAAGCAAAUCCCUAAAAGAUACCUCAGUUCGGAUUGCACUCUGCAACUCGAGUGCAUGAAGCUGGAAUUACUAGUAAUCGUGGAUCAGCGUGCCACGGUGAAUGCGUUCCCGGGUCUUGUACACACCGCCCGUCACACCAUGGGAGUUGGUUCUACCUUAAGGCAAGGUUUCAAACCCUUGACCACGGUAUAGUCAGCGACUGGGGUGAAGUCGUAACAAGGUAA
RNAcentral lists this ribosomal RNA (557 nucleotides) under uncultured Alphaproteobacteria bacterium. RNAcentral describes it as "bacterial SSU rRNA". It matches the Rfam family "Bacterial small subunit ribosomal RNA", at positions 935 to 1499 of the family's 1533-position model. Lineage: Bacteria; Pseudomonadati; Pseudomonadota; Alphaproteobacteria. The record is from RNAcentral.